GACGAACGCUGGCGGCGUGCUUAACACAUGCGAGUCGAACGGAAAGGCCUGCUUUCCCUUGUGGAUUGCGGGUACUCGAGUGGCGAACGGGUGAGUAACACGUGAGUGAUCUGCCCCCAACUUGGGUAUAAGCCUGGGAAACUGGGUCUAAUUCCCGAUAGGACUGCAGGGUGGUGCCUGUGGUGGAAAACGAUUUUCUAGUGGUUGGGGAUGAGCUCGCGGCCUAUCAGCUUGUUGGUGGGGUAAUGGCCUACCAAGGCGGCGACGGGUAGCCGGCCUGAGAGGGUGGACGGCCACAUUGGGACUGAGAGACGGCCCAGACUCCUACGGGAGGCAGCAGUGGGGAAUAUUGCACAAUGGGCGGAAGCCUGAUGCAGCGACGCCGCGUGGGGGAUGACGGCCUUCGGGUUGUAAACUCCUUUCGACCGCGAGGAAGCCACCUGGUUGGAAGGGUGGUGACGGUAGUGGUAGAAGAAGCACCGGCUAACUACGUG
This 494-nucleotide ribosomal RNA is filed under the name uncultured bacterium. Its description in RNAcentral is "partial 16S ribosomal RNA". It matches the Rfam family "Bacterial small subunit ribosomal RNA", at positions 28 to 507 of the family's 1533-position model. The record is from RNAcentral.